UACGUAGGGAGCAAGCGUUGUCCGGAAUUAUUGGGCGUAAAGAGCUCGUAGGCGGUGUGUCACGUCGGCCGUGAAAACCUGCAGCUUAACUGUGGGCGUGCGGUCGAUACGGGCAUCACUGGAGUUCGGCAGGGGAGACUGGAAUUCCUGGUGUAGCGGUGAAAUGCGCAGAUAUCAGGAGGAACACCGGUGGCGAAGGCGGGACUCUGGGCCGAUACUGACGCUGAGGAGCGAAAGCGUGGGGAGCGAACAGG
This 254-nucleotide ribosomal RNA is filed under the name uncultured bacterium. RNAcentral's name for it is "partial 16S ribosomal RNA". It matches the Rfam family "Bacterial small subunit ribosomal RNA", at positions 524 to 776 of the family's 1533-position model. The record is from RNAcentral.